GAUGAACGCUAGCGGCGGGCCUAAUACAUGCAAGUCGAACGGUGCAGCAAUGCAUAGUGGCAGACGGGUGCGUAACGCGUAUGCAACCUACCUUUUAUCGGGGGACAACAUUUCGAAAGAAGUGCUAAUACCGCGUAAGAUAGUAGUGGGACAUCCCACAGCUAUUAAACUUUCGGGGAUAGAAGAUGGGCAUGCGUCUGAUUAGCUAGUUGGCGGGUAACGGCCCACCAAGGCGACGAUCAGUAGGGGAACUGAGAGGUUGAUCCCCCACACUGGCACUGAGAUACGGGCCAGACUCCUACGGGAGGCAGCAGUAGGGAAUAUUGGGCAAUGGACGGAAGUCUGACCCAGCCACGCCGCGUGCAGGAGGAAGGCGCUCUGCGUUGUAAACUGCUUUAGCAGGGGAAGAAAAGACUCAUGCGUGAGGAAUUGACGGUACCCUGAGAAUAAGCACCGGCUAACUACGUGCCAGCAGCCGCGGUAA
This 484-nucleotide ribosomal RNA is filed under the name uncultured bacterium. RNAcentral describes it as "bacterial SSU rRNA". It matches the Rfam family "Bacterial small subunit ribosomal RNA", at positions 28 to 523 of the family's 1533-position model. The record is from RNAcentral.